RNAcentral lists this ribosomal RNA (586 nucleotides) under Aspergillus sp. 3 YHY-2018. Its description in RNAcentral is "partial large subunit ribosomal RNA". It matches the Rfam family "Eukaryotic large subunit ribosomal RNA", at positions 53 to 654 of the family's 3401-position model. Lineage: Eukaryota; Fungi; Ascomycota; Eurotiomycetes; Eurotiales; Aspergillaceae. The record is from RNAcentral.
GAGGAAAAGAAACCAACCGGGAUUGCCUCAGUAACGGCGAGUGAAGCGGCAAGAGCUCAAAUUUGAAAGCUGGCCCCUCCGGGGUCCGCGUUGUAAUUUGCAGAGGAUGCUUUGGGUGCGGCCCCCGUCUAAGUGCCCUGGAACGGGCCGUCAGAGAGGGUGAGAAUCCCGUCUUGGGCGGGGUGUCCGUGCCCGUGUAAAGCUCCUUCGACGAGUCGAGUUGUUUGGGAAUGCAGCUCUAAAUGGGUGGUAAAUUUCAUCUAAAGCUAAAUACUGGCCGGAGACCGAUAGCGCACAAGUAGAGUGAUCGAAAGAUGAAAAGCACUUUGAAAAGAGAGUUAAACAGCACGUGAAAUUGUUGAAAGGGAAGCGCUUGCGACCAGACUCGCCCUCGGGGUUCAGCCGGCACUCGUGCCGGUGUACUUCCCCGGGGGCGGGCCAGCGUCAGCUUGGGCGGCCGGUCAAAGGCCUCCGGAAUGUAGUGCCCCCCGGGGCACCUUAUAGCCGGAGGUGCAAUGCGGCCAGCCUGGGCUGAGGAACGCGCUUCGGCACGGACGCUGGCAUAAUGGUCGCAAACGACCCGUCU